Dipodomys ordii (Ord's kangaroo rat) is the source of this 73-nucleotide non-coding RNA. NCBI's taxonomy places the organism in Eukaryota, Metazoa, Chordata, Mammalia, Rodentia, Heteromyidae. The record is from Rfam.
GGGAAGGAGGCUCAGUGGUAGAGCGCUUGCUUUGCAUGCAUGAGGCCCUGGGUUGGAUUUCUCAGCACCCCCU